RNAcentral lists this ribosomal RNA (390 nucleotides) under uncultured bacterium. RNAcentral's name for it is "bacterial SSU rRNA". It matches the Rfam family "Bacterial small subunit ribosomal RNA", at positions 30 to 420 of the family's 1533-position model. The record is from RNAcentral.
AUUGAACGCUGGCGGCAUGCCUUACACAUGCAAGUCGAACGGCAGCACGGGAGCAAUCCUGGUGGCGAGUGGCGAACGGGUGAGUAAUGUAUCGGAACGUACCUUUCAGUGGGGGAUAACGUAGCGAAAGUUACGCUAAUACCGCAUAUUCUGUGAGCAGGAAAGCAGGGGAUCGCAAGACCUUGCGCUGAUUGAGCGGCCGAUAUCAGAUUAGCUAGUUGGUGAGGUAAAGGCUCACCAAGGCGACGAUCUGUAGCGGGUCUGAGAGGAUGAUCCGCCACACUGGAACUGAGACACGGUCCAGAUUCCUACGGGAGGCAGCAGUGGGGAAUUUUGGACAAUGGGCGCAAGCCUGAUCCAGCCAUGCCGCGUGAGUGAAGAAGGCCUCGG